AUUGAACGCUGGCGGCAGGCCUAACACAUGCAAGUCGAACGGUAACAGGAAACAGCUUGCUGUUUCGCUGACGAGUGGCGGACGGGUGAGUAAUGUCUGGGAAACUGCCUGGUGGAGGGGGAUAACUACUGGAAACGGUAGCUAAUACCGCAUAACGUCGCAAGACCAAAGAGGGGGACCUUCGGGCCUCUUGCCAUCGGAUGUGCCCAGAUGGGAUUAGCUAGUAGGUGGGGUAACGGCUCACCUAGGCGACGAUCCCUAGCUGGUCUGAGAGGAUGACCAGCCACACUGGAACUGAGACACGGUCCAGACUCCUACGGGAGGCAGCAGUGGGGAAUAUUGCACAAUGGGCGCAAGCCUGAUGCAGCCAUGCCGCGUGUAUGAAGAAGGCCUUCGGGUUGUAAAGUACUUUCAGCGGGGAGGAAGGGAGUAAAGUUAAUACCUUUGCUCAUUGACGUUACCCGCAGAAGAAGCACCGGCUAACUCCGUG
This 490-nucleotide ribosomal RNA is filed under the name uncultured bacterium. RNAcentral describes it as "partial 16S ribosomal RNA". It matches the Rfam family "Bacterial small subunit ribosomal RNA", at positions 30 to 507 of the family's 1533-position model. The record is from RNAcentral.